GGUUAAGCGACUAAGCGUACACGGUGGAUGCCCUGGCAGUCAGAGGCGAUGAAGGACGUGCUAAUCUGCGAUAAGCGUCGGUGAGGUGAUAUGAACCGUUAUAACCGGCGAUUUCCGAAUGGGGAAACCCAGUGUGAUUCGUCACACUAUCAUUAACUGAAUCCAUAGGUUAAUGAGGCGAACCGGGGGAACUGAAACAUCUAAGUACCCCGAGGAAAAGAAAUCAACCGAGAUUCCCCCAGUAGCGGCGAGCGAACGGGGAGGAGCCCAGAGCCUGAAUCAGUGUGUGUGUUAGUGGAAGCGUCUGGAAAGGCGCGCGAUACAGGGUGACAGCCCCGUACACAAAAAUGCACAUGCUGUGAGCUCGAUGAGUAGGGCGGGACACGUGGUAUCCUGUCUGAAUAUGGGGGGACCAUCCUCCAAGGCUAAAUACUCCUGACUGACCGAUAGUGAACCAGUACCGUGAGGGAAAGGCGAAAAGAACCCCGGCGAGGGGAGUGAAAAAGAACCUGAAACCGUGUACGUACAAGCAGUGGGAGCCUCUUAAUGGGGUGACUGCGUACCUUUUGUAUAAUGGGUCAGCGACUUAUAUUCUGUAGCAAGGUUAACCGAAUAGGGGAGCCGAAGGGAAACCGAGUCUUAACUGGGCGUUAAGUUGCAGGGUAUAGACCCGAAACCCGGUGAUCUAGCCAUGGGCAGGUUGAAGGUUGGGUAACACUAACUGGAGGACCGAACCGACUAAUGUUGAAAAAUUAGCGGAUGACUUGUGGCUGGGGGUGAAAGGCCAAUCAAACCGGGAGAUAGCUGGUUCUCCCCGAAAGCUAUUUAGGUAGCGCCUCGUGAAUUCAUCUCCGGGGGUAGAGCACUGUUUCGGCAAGGGGGUCAUCCCGACUUACCAACCCGAUGCAAACUGCGAAUACCGGAGAAUGUUAUCACGGGAGACACACGGCGGGUGCUAACGUCCGUCGUGAAGAGGGAAACAACCCAGACCGCCAGCUAAGGUCCCAAAGUCAUGGUUAAGUGGGAAACGAUGUGGGAAGGCCCAGACAGCCAGGAUGUUGGCUUAGAAGCAGCCAUCAUUUAAAGAAAGCGUAAUAGCUCACUGGUCGAGUCGGCCUGCGCGGAAGAUGUAACGGGGCUAAACCAUGCACCGAAGCUGCGGCAGCGACACUAUGUGUUGUUGGGUAGGGGAGCGUUCUGUAAGCCUGUGAAGGUGGCCUGUGAGGGUUGCUGGAGGUAUCAGAAGUGCGAAUGCUGACAUAAGUAACGAUAAAGCGGGUGAAAAGCCCGCUCGCCGGAAGACCAAGGGUUCCUGUCCAACGUUAAUCGGGGCAGGGUGAGUCGACCCCUAAGGCGAGGCCGAAAGGCGUAGUCGAUGGGAAACAGGUUAAUAUUCCUGUACUUGGUGUUACUGCGAAGGGGGGACGGAGAAGGCUAUGUUGGCCGGGCGACGGUUGUCCCGGUUUAAGCGUGUAGGCUGGUUUUCCAGGCAAAUCCGGAAAACCAAGGCUGAGGCGUGAUGACGAGGCACUACGGUGCUGAAGUGACAAAUGCCCUGCUUCCAGGAAAAGCCUCUAAGCAUCAGGUAACAUCAAAUCGUACCCCAAACCGACACAGGUGGUCAGGUAGAGAAUACCAAGGCGCUUGAGAGAACUCGGGUGAAGGAACUAGGCAAAAUGGUGCCGUAACUUCGGGAGAAGGCACGCUGAUAUGUAGGUGAAGCGACUUGCUCGUGGAGCUGAAAUCAGUCGAAGAUACCAGCUGGCUGCAACUGUUUAUUAAAAACACAGCACUGUGCAAACACGAAAGUGGACGUAUACGGUGUGACGCCUGCCCGGUGCCGGAAGGUUAAUUGAUGGGGUUAGCGGUAACGCGAAGCUCUUGAUCGAAGCCCCGGUAAACGGCGGCCGUAACUAUAACGGUCCUAAGGUAGCGAAAUUCCUUGUCGGGUAAGUUCCGACCUGCACGAAUGGCGUAAUGAUGGCCAGGCUGUCUCCACCCGAGACUCAGUGAAAUUGAACUCGCUGUGAAGAUGCAGUGUACCCGCGGCAAGACGGAAAGACCCCGUGAACCUUUACUAUAGCUUGACACUGAACAUUGAGCCUUGAUGUGUAGGAUAGGUGGGAGGCUUUGAAGUGUGGACGCCAGUCUGCAUGGAGCCGACCUUGAAAUACCACCCUUUAAUGUUUGAUGUUCUAACGUUGGCCCCUAAUCGGGGUUGCGGACAGUGUCUGGUGGGUAGUUUGACUGGGGCGGUCUCCUCCUAAAGAGUAACGGAGGAGCACGAAGGUUGGCUAAUCCUGGUCGGACAUCAGGAGGUUAGUGCAAUGGCAUAAGCCAGCUUGACUGCGAGCGUGACGGCGCGAGCAGGUGCGAAAGCAGGUCAUAGUGAUCCGGUGGUUCUGAAUGGAAGGGCCAUCGCUCAACGGAUAAAAGGUACUCCGGGGAUAACAGGCUGAUACCGCCCAAGAGUUCAUAUCGACGGCGGUGUUUGGCACCUCGAUGUCGGCUCAUCACAUCCUGGGGCUGAAGUAGGUCCCAAGGGUAUGGCUGUUCGCCAUUUAAAGUGGUACGCGAGCUGGGUUUAGAACGUCGUGAGACAGUUCGGUCCCUAUCUGCCGUGGGCGCUGGAGAACUGAGGGGGGCUGCUCCUAGUACGAGAGGACCGGAGUGGACGCAUCACUGGUGUUCGGGUUGUCAUGCCAAUGGCACUGCCCGGUAGCUAAAUGCGGAAGAGAUAAGUGCUGAAAGCAUCUAAGCACGAAACUUGCCCCGAGAUGAGUUCUCCCUGAGACUUAGAGUCUCCUGAAGGAACGUUGAAGACGACGACGUUGAUAGGCCGGGUGUGUAAGCGCAGCGAUGCGUUGAGCUAACCGGUACUAAUGAACCGUGAGGCUUAACCUUACAACGCCGAAGAUGUUUUG
This 2924-nucleotide ribosomal RNA is filed under the name Escherichia coli. RNAcentral's name for it is "bacterial LSU rRNA". It matches the Rfam family "Bacterial large subunit ribosomal RNA". Lineage: Bacteria; Pseudomonadati; Pseudomonadota; Gammaproteobacteria; Enterobacterales; Enterobacteriaceae. The record is from RNAcentral.